RNAcentral lists this transfer RNA (82 nucleotides) under Deinococcus maricopensis DSM 21211. It matches the Rfam family "tRNA". Rfam says of the family: Transfer RNA (tRNA) molecules are approximately 80 nucleotides in length. Their secondary structure includes four short double-helical elements and three loops (D, anti-codon, and T loops). Further hydrogen bonds mediate the characteristic L-shaped molecular structure. tRNAs have two regions of fundamental functional importance: the anti-codon, which is responsible for specific mRNA codon recognition, and the 3' end, to which the tRNAs corresponding amino acid is attached (by aminoacyl-tRNA synthetases). tRNAs cope with the degeneracy of the genetic code in two manners: having more than one tRNA (with a specific anti-codon) for a particular amino acid; and 'wobble' base-pairing, i.e. permitting non-standard base-pairing at the 3rd anti-codon position. Lineage: Bacteria; Thermotogati; Deinococcota; Deinococci; Deinococcales; Deinococcaceae. The record is from Rfam by way of RNAcentral.
GCUGGGGUGGCGGAAUUGGUAGACGCGCACGUUUGAGGGGCGUGUAGAGAAAUCUGUGUGGGUUCAAGUCCCAUCCCCAGCA